AGGUUAUCUUCGGACCUUGCGCUGAUGGAUGAGCGCGCGUCGGAUUAGCUUGUUGGUGGGAUAAUGGCGCACCAAGGCGACGAUCCGUAACUGGUCUGAGAGGAUGGCCAGUCACACCGGGACUGAGACACGGCUCGGACUCCUACGGGAGGCAGCAGUGGCUAAUCUUGGACAAUGUGCGCAAGCCUGAUCCAGCCAUGCCGCGUGUGUGAAGAAGGCCUUCGCGUUGUAUAGCACUCUCAGUAGGGAGGAAGGCUAUGGGCUAAUACGCUGGAGUACUUGACGUUACCUACAGAAGAAGCACCGGCUAAUCUCGUGCCAGCAGCCGCGGUAAUACGAAAGGUGCGAGCGUUAAUCGGAAUUACUGGGCGUAAAGCGCGCGUAGGCGGUGUGUUAAGUCGGAUGUGAAAGCGCAGGGCUCAACCUUGGAAUUGCAUCCGAUACUGGCACGCUAGAGUGCAGUAGAGUGAGGUGGAAUCUCCGGUGUAGCGGUGAUAUGCGUAGAGAUCGGAAGGAACACCAGUGGCGAAGGCGGCCUCCUGGACUGACACUGACGCUGAGGUGCGACAGCGUGGUGAGCAGACAGGAUUAGAUACUCUGGUAGUCCACGCCGUAAACGAUGUCUACUAGCCGUUGGGGUCCUUAGUGACUCUGGUGGCGCAGCUAACGCGAUAAGUAGACCGCCUGGGGAGUACGGCCGCAAGGUUACCACUCAAAUGAAUUGACGGGGGCCCGCACAAGCGGUGGAGCAUGUGGUAUAAUUCGAUGCAACGCGAAGAACCUUACCAGGCCUUGACAUCCUGCGAACUAUCUAGAGAUAGAUUGGUGCCUUCGGGAGCGCAGUGACAGGUGCUGCAUGGCUGUCGUCAGCUCGUGUCGUGAGAUGUUGGGUUAAGUCCCGUAACGAGCGCAACCCUUGUCCUUAGUUGCCAGCACUUCGCGUGGGAACUCUAGGGAGACUGCCGGUGACAGACCGGAGGAAGGUGGGGACGACGUCAAGUCAUCAUGGCUCUUACGGCCUGGGCUACACACGUGCUACAAUGGUUGGUACAGAGCGUUGCGAAGUCGCGAGGCGGAGCUAAUCUCUCAAAGCCAAUCGUAGUCCGGAUUGGAGUCUGCAACUCGACUCCAUGAAGUCGGAAUCGCUAGUAAUCGCGGAUCAGAAUGCCGCGGUGAAUACGUUCACGGGCCUUGUACACACCGCGCGUCACACCAUGUGAGUGGAUUGC
Molecule: ribosomal RNA, 1229 nt
Filed under: Alloalcanivorax dieselolei
Lineage: Bacteria; Pseudomonadati; Pseudomonadota; Gammaproteobacteria; Oceanospirillales; Alcanivoracaceae
Description: bacterial SSU rRNA
Rfam family: Bacterial small subunit ribosomal RNA
Source: RNAcentral